GUGGAUUCUCUCAGACUCUUCUUUCAGAUCCUUUCCUCCAAUGAUAAGGCCAGCUGAGAAGUCGUGAUUCUUUCCCACUUUACGCAGAACCUUAAAAGUCUGAAACGCCAGCUCCCGGGUGGGCGAUAUUAUCAGAACUCCCAACCCAUCUGCUGAAGUCCACUGAAGGCGGUAUAGGAGUUCCAGAGCUGGGACAAUGAAAGCCAAUGUUUU
This 213-nucleotide long non-coding RNA is filed under the name Gallus gallus (chicken). The record is from RNAcentral. Lineage: Eukaryota; Metazoa; Chordata; Aves; Galliformes; Phasianidae.